AAACAUAACCUUUAGCCAAACAAGUAUUAAAGGCAACGCCUGCCCAGUGAACAAUUCAACGGCCGCGGUACCCUAACCGUGCAAAGGUAGCAUAAUCAUUUGUCUAUUAACUGUAGACCUGUAUGAAUGGCAAAAUGAGGGUUUAACUGUCUCUUAUAAUAAGUCUAUUAAACUGAUCUCCUAGUAAAAAAGCUAGAAUAUUCCCAUAAGACCAGAAGACCCUGUGAAGCUUAAACUAAACUAUUAAACCCAAUAAUAACUACUUUCGGUUGGGGCGACCUUGGAAAUAAAAACAACUUCCAAUUUAUGUGAUGCACCACACCCACUAGGCCCACAAGCCAAUUAACGACCCAGUACUACUGAUAAUAGAACAAAGUUACUCCAGGGAUAACAGCGCUAUCUUCUUCAAGAGCCCAUAUCAAAAAGAAGGUUUACGACCUCGAUGUUGGAUCAGGACAUCCUAAUGGUGCAGCCGCUAUUAAGGGUUCGUUUGUUCAACGAUUAAUGUCCUACGUGAUCUG
Molecule: ribosomal RNA, 521 nt
Filed under: Nerodia sipedon
Lineage: Eukaryota; Metazoa; Chordata; Lepidosauria; Squamata; Natricidae
Description: partial 16S ribosomal RNA
Rfam family: Bacterial large subunit ribosomal RNA
Source: RNAcentral